AUUGAACGCUGGCGGCAUGCUUUACACAUGCAAGUCGAACGGUAACAGGGAGCUUGCUCCGCUGACGAGUGGCGAACGGGUGAGUAAUAUAUCGGAACGUACCCAAGAGUGGGGGAUAACGUAGCGAAAGUUACGCUAAUACCGCAUACGAUCUAUGGAUGAAAGCAGGGGACCGCAAGGCCUUGUGCUCCUGGAGCGGCCGAUAUCUGAUUAGCUAGUUGGUAGGGUAAAGGCCUACCAAGGCAUCGAUCAGUAGCUGGUCUGAGAGGACGACCAGCCACACUGGAACUGAGACACGGUCCAGACUCCUACGGGAGGCAGCAGUGGGGAAUUUUGGACAAUGGGCGCAAGCCUGAUCCAGCAAUGCCGCGUGAGUGAAGAAGGCCUUCGGGUUGUAAAGCUCUUUUGUCAGGGAAGAAACGGGUGCGGCUAAUAUCCGCAUCUAAUGACGGUA
This 454-nucleotide ribosomal RNA is filed under the name uncultured bacterium. Its description in RNAcentral is "bacterial SSU rRNA". It matches the Rfam family "Bacterial small subunit ribosomal RNA", at positions 30 to 477 of the family's 1533-position model. The record is from RNAcentral.